This 304-nucleotide ribosomal RNA is filed under the name Pichia kudriavzevii. RNAcentral's name for it is "partial large subunit ribosomal RNA". It matches the Rfam family "Eukaryotic large subunit ribosomal RNA", at positions 157 to 463 of the family's 3401-position model. Lineage: Eukaryota; Fungi; Ascomycota; Pichiomycetes; Pichiales; Pichiaceae. The record is from RNAcentral.
UGGAGUCUGUGUGGAAGGCGGUGUCCAAGUCCCUUGGAACAGGGCGCCCAGGAGGGUGAGAGCCCCGUGGGAUGCCGGCGGAAGCAGUGAGGCCCUUCUGACGAGUCGAGUUGUUUGGGAAUGCAGCUCCAAGCGGGUGGUAAAUUCCAUCUAAGGCUAAAUACUGGCGAGAGACCGAUAGCGAACAAGUACUGUGAAGGAAAGAUGAAAAGCACUUUGAAAAGAGAGUGAAACAGCACGUGAAAUUGUUGAAAGGGAAGGGUAUUGCGCCCGACAUGGGGAUUGCGCACCGCUGCCUCUCGUG